UCCCUAAGGUGAAUCAAAUGAUUCGGCGGACCGCCUGUCCAACUCUCGUCGGGACUCACUCACUCACUACAGUCCUCAAAUAAAUUGCAAUAUAAAUCUCAAAUAUACAUCAAAUGUUCCACAAAUUUACAUACACUACAAACUAAAAUCUCAAGAGAUACAAGCAAUACUAAUUUUUCGAAUAAGACAAAGGUCCUCAAUUUUCACAUAAGUACAAGUACAAGUACAAUCGCAGUCUCAAAUAUUACACAAGAUAAGACUAUAACUCAAACUGUACAGUAGAUCAUCCAACCAUUCACACAGAGAACUUUAAUACAAAUGCUUCAUUCACCUCGAGCCCUGUGGAGGGGAAUAAAAUAUUUUGAGGUGAGCUAGAAACUCAGCGAGUAACCAUUAAAAUCAGUAAUCAAAUCAGUUUCACAAUAGUUAAUUUCAAUGAUGUCAUGAUUCAGUAAUCAAAUGUACAUUUAUUGCUCUCGUGAGCCAGUGAAAUCAUUGUACUUAAACACCCAAUACUCAAAUCGAUCAGUUAACAGUGAAACAGUGAUAGGGAGUCAUUAGUGCUCCAGAUGAACAAUAAAUAGUGGUGGAGACGUUGGUUCUAAGUACAAGACUUCCCAAAAACUCAUUGAAACCAAAUCAUGUCAUGAACUCACAUGCAAGCAUACAUGAUAUGCAAUCGAGUAAACAAUGCAAGAAACGGUUCAUAAGUAGAUUUGGAAACAGUUUGGGGUCACUCACAAAUCACGGCUCAUAAUCCUCUUCCAUUAUAGACAAUUUCGUGAAUCGAACUCAAGCCCUUCGACUCAAAUUCAAAGCAACCAAACACUCUCAAAGAUCAAACAGCAUUUCCCCUUAAAUUCUUCAUUUCCAUCCUACAAUAACAACAUCAAAUUACAUCUUACCAACCGCAAUUGCACAUACGGUUCGUAAAUAAUAAAACACAUCCAAUUAGGGCCACAAAACCCUUCAAUCAAAGCCAAUUAGAAGCUUAAGAGCCAACCAUAAGAAAAUCCCCAAAUUAAACCCUAAAAUCGGAAUUUCUGCACAAACCAGAAAUUUUCCGCAAACAAUCAUAUCCAACGUAUACAAGCUCCAUUUUACUCCAUAACAAGCUAUCAUUCCAUGACCAACAUACCAUAAUCAUAUAAAAUCAGAAAAUUUCUCAAUAAAUUAGAAAUUGGUCCAACUCUACUUAAAAUCAUGAAAUCAUCCACAAUACAACAUAUUUAACCACUAUAAACCACUAAUAUACCAUUAUUAAAACAAAAAGGGAACUUUCUUAGCAACUCACCUUACAACUCAAGAAAGAUAGCACCUUAAAGCUUCGCUUUCAAAAAUCAAUCCAUCAAAAGCUUUAAACCUCUAUAGUACACACUUGUAUUGAGUAAUUUGUAAUUCCACUGGUUAAAAACUCAAGAUUUGAACAAAAUUGAAGAUAGAAAAUGAAGAGCUUUCUUCGUUUCUCUCAAGUUAGCCGCGUCAAGCAAGGAGCAAAAUGAAGAUAUUUUGGGCCAAAAGUAGGAUAAGAAUGGAGGAAACAGCCGGUCAAAGCUGCUGUGACCGAUUGUGACACGUCACAAUCCGGUCGGAUUCAAGGCAGAGGAGAAAUCAAUUUUUUUUCAAAACCCUCAAGCAAUCCGACCAACAAUCCGGCCAAGAACUGGCCGGAUUUGCAGCUGGAUUUGAUUCAGAACCUUUCCACCAAAAGUUUUGCUUUCCAAGUUCAAACGUUGCGCUACUCCGCUCUUCCGACA
This 1757-nucleotide long non-coding RNA is filed under the name Coffea arabica (coffee). RNAcentral's name for it is "long non-coding RNA (CARA_LNC006232)". The record is from RNAcentral. Lineage: Eukaryota; Viridiplantae; Streptophyta; Magnoliopsida; Gentianales; Rubiaceae.